This is a long non-coding RNA of Ictalurus punctatus (channel catfish), 2002 nucleotides long. Lineage: Eukaryota; Metazoa; Chordata; Actinopteri; Siluriformes; Ictaluridae. The record is from Ensembl.
AAGCCCUGAAACUGGGGACGGUGUUUAUUUUGGUGCUCCUUCCCAUCCAUCUUCUCACAUAUCGAGUUCCACAGUUCCUUUAUCAGAGUCGGAUGAAAAUACGCUGCGACACUCAAAACCUGCCCCUUCCAAACCCUAUAUAUUAACAUCAAGACCAUCAUUGUAUUGUGUUGCAAUAUUAAAUAAAAUACACUAUAUGGCCAGAAGUAUGUGGACACCUGCCCAUCAAACCCAUAUGAUCUCGUUGAACUUCCCAUUCCAAAACCAUGGCCAUUAAUAUGGAAUUGGUCCCCCUUUGUUCUGCUAUAAUAACAACCUCCGCUCCUCUGUAGGGUUGAAGUCAGGGCUCCGUGCAGAUCACUCGAGUUCUUCCACUCCAACCUUGGCAAACUAUGCACUCGUGUAUGGAAGUACAACCAUGCCAAAUGACCUCAAGGCAAAAUGGCAUGUUGAAUUACAUAAAUUGAAUAAAAACAUAUCUCAAUGACAGUACUUGAAUUUUUCUGCCCAGCAAUUUGACACAAAUUUUAAUUUAAACAACAACAACAACAACACAGCAAUAACAAUGCUUGAAUUAGUUUCCUCUGCAAUUCAUUGGGUUUGUAUAUUUUGAUUGAAAACAAAAUUACAGCAUUCAUAAUUCAGUUGUUAAAAUACCAUCUUCAUUAUUCGUCAGGUAGUAUUAAAAUUCAAGCCUUCACAUCCGGGUCUCACAGGAAGAGCAAUGGAUUGCCCGGUACUAUUGUGACACGUUACUCUGGGUCGGCCCCUAGUGGUGGGAUUGUGCAGACAAGCCACAAGAGAAGAUAAACCUAGCAGACUGGCAUAAAGUUGGCUUGACGUUGGACGUCAGUAUUCGCAGAUAUGCGCAAAUUAAGGGACCGUCUCUAAAGUUACAUAUUGGUAUACAUGUUUCUAACUUCAAUACCAUUUGAAGGGAAUGACUUAUAGCAGACACCUAGAUGAACACUUUACAGUUGGUUUUAUGACCAAGUCAUUCCCUUCAUAUGCUACUGAAGUUAGAAACAUGUAUAUGUAUAUGUAUAUGUAUACGUAUGUAACUUUAGAGACGGUUCCUUAAUUUUGUUCCUAACACUAUUAUACUUCCAUAUUCAUGGACCCUGCUUUGUGCACGGGGCACUGUCGUGGUGGAACAGGAUUAGGCUGAGCCCCUUCGCACUAGUGAAGGGAAAUCUUAAUGCUGUAGCACACAAAAACAUCCUAUACAAUUGUAUGCUGCCAAAUUUGUGGGUGCAAUAGUCAGGUGUCCACAUACUUUUGGCUAUAAAAGGUGUGAGCUAUAAUUCUCUCUAUUACUAUUGCAUACUGUCACGAAUACGAAUGAGUAGACCAAUUCACUGAGACAAAUAGCCCAGUGGCAUUCAGUAACAAGCAUUGUAUAUUAUAAAUAACGGAAGAAGUGCAAGUAUUUAUAUGGAGAUUUAAUUAACAAAAAGCACAAAUCCGACAACACUAUUGACUCGAUGAUCUUUUGAUUUGCGCUACCACAGGAAAAGCCAUGCCGCCACAAGUCUGAGUGAUCAGAUAAAUGUAAAGGACUCACGUUUGAACAGCUGAGGUGGACUGAGGAACGCUUGUGUUUCCAUCUCCUCUUCAGACAAGCCUGUGGAAGAGACACACACACACACACAAUUAAAACCACAGUACUGUUGAAUUCACAAGUCUGACUAUUCAGAUAUUGUUGAUUCAUUUUCUGGGGAAAUAAGUUUAUAAGAACGUGUUCGUUCUAAUAUUUUAUUGUUUCUAUAGUAACAGCUCAGUUACAGGGACUUGUAUGGUGGAUGCUCCAUAUAAUCGAAGGAGGCAUCUAUUUAACAACUGGAAGGCGUCUGUGGUAUCAGUGAGGUUUUCCACCACGGGAGAGUCUUCAAGGAGUUUGAGAUGGGUUUGUGCUUUCCUGGUUUCUCUUAAGAUGCAUUUUUUUGUCUUAAUAAUAAACAUAAUACUACAUCAUAUAGUCCACAGGACAAAAUAAUAUCUG